This 495-nucleotide ribosomal RNA is filed under the name uncultured bacterium. RNAcentral describes it as "partial 16S ribosomal RNA". It matches the Rfam family "Bacterial small subunit ribosomal RNA", at positions 28 to 507 of the family's 1533-position model. The record is from RNAcentral.
GACGAACGCUGGCGGCGUGCCUAAUACAUGCAAGUAGAACGCUGAAGGAGGAGCUUGCUUCGCUGGAUGAGUUGCGAACGGGUGAGUAACGCGUAGGUAACCUGCCUGGUAGCGGGGGAUAACUAUUGGAAACGAUAGCUAAUACCGCAUAAUAGUAGAUGCUGCAUGACAUUUGCUUAAAAGUUGCAAUUGCAUCACUACCAGAUGGACCUGCGUUGUAUGAGCUAGUUGGUGGGGUAACGGCUCACCAAGGCGACGAUACAUAGCCGACCUGUGAGGGGGAGCAGCCGCACUGGGAGUGAGACACGCCACAGACUCAUACGGGUGGCAGCAGUAGGGAAUCUGGAGCAAUGGACGGAAGUCUGACCGAGCAACGCGGCGUGAGUGAGGAAGGUCUUCGGGUCGUAAAGCUCUGUUGUAAGGGAAGAACGCGUGUGCGAGUGGAAAGUUCCCACUGUGACGGUAUCUUACCAGAAAGGGCCGGCUAACUACGUG